This 484-nucleotide ribosomal RNA is filed under the name uncultured bacterium. Its description in RNAcentral is "partial 16S ribosomal RNA". It matches the Rfam family "Bacterial small subunit ribosomal RNA", at positions 30 to 507 of the family's 1533-position model. The record is from RNAcentral.
AUUGAACGCUGGCGGCAUGCCUUACACAUGCAAGUCGAACGGCAGCGCGGACUUCGGUCUGGCGGCGAGUGGCGAACGGGUGAGUAAUACAUCGGAACGUACCCUGUUGUGGGGGAUAACUAGUCGAAAGAUUAGCUAAUACCGCAUACGACCUGAGGGUGAAAGUGGGGGACCGCAAGGCCUCACGCAGCAGGAGCGGCCGAUGUCUGAUUAGCUAGUUGGUGGGGUAAAGGCCCACCAAGGCGACGAUCAGUAGCUAGUCUGAGAGGACGAUCAGCCACACUGGGACUUAGACACGGCCCAGACUCCUACGGGAGGCAGCAGUGGGGAAUUUUGGACAAUGGGGGCAACCCUGAUCCAGCAAUGCCGCGUGUGUGAAGAAGGCCUUCGGGUUGUAAAGCACUUUUGUCCGGAAAGAAAUCGCGCUGGUUAAUACCUGGCGUGGAUGACGGUACCGGAAGAAUAAGCACCGGCUAACUACGUG